RNAcentral lists this ribosomal RNA (826 nucleotides) under uncultured bacterium. Its description in RNAcentral is "bacterial SSU rRNA". It matches the Rfam family "Bacterial small subunit ribosomal RNA", at positions 47 to 868 of the family's 1533-position model. The record is from RNAcentral.
CAGCUACACAUGCAGUCGAGCGGAUGAGGGGAGCUUGCUCCCUGAUUUAGCGGCGGACGGGUGAGUAAUGCCUAGGAAUCUGCCUGGUAGUGGGGGAUAACGUUCCGAAAGGAACGCUAAUACCGCAUACGUCCUACGGGAGAAAGCAGGGGACCUUCGGGCCUUGCGCUAUCAGAUGAGCCUAGGUCGGAUUAGCUAGUUGGUGAGGUAAUGGCUCACCAAGGCGACGAUCCGUAACUGGUCUGAGAGGAUGAUCAGUCACACUGGAACUGAGACACGGUCCAGACUCCUACGGGAGGCAGCAGUGGGGAAUAUUGGACAAUGGGCGAAAGCCUGAUCCAGCCAUGCCGUGUGUGUGAAGAAGGUCUUCGGAUUGUAAAGCACUUUAAGUUGGGAGGAAGGGCAUUAACCUAAUACGUUAGUGUUUUGACGUUACCAACAGAAUAAGCACCGGCUAACUUCGUGCCAGCAGCCGCGGUAAUACGAAGGGUGCAAGCGUUAAUCGGAAUUACUGGGCGUAAAGCGCGCGUAGGUGGUUCGUUAAGUUGGAUGUGAAAGCCCCGGGCUCAACCUGGGAACUGCAUCCAAAACUGGCGAGCUAGAGUACGGUAGAGGGUGGUGGAAUUUCCUGUGUAGCGGUGAAAUGCGUAGAUAUAGGAAGGAACACCAGUGGCGAAGGCGACCACCUGGACUGAUACUGACACUGAGGUGCGAAAGCGUGGGGAGCAAACAGGAUUAGAUACCCUGGUAGUCCACGCCGUAAACGAUGUCAACUAGCCGUUGGAAUCCUUGAGAUUUUAGUGGCGCAGCUAACGCAUUAAGUUGA